UGCCUGGCGGCCGUAGCGCGGUGGUCCCACCUGACCCCAUGCCGAACUCAGAAGUGAAACGCCGUAGCGCCGAUGGUAGUGUGGGGUUUCCCCAUGCGAGAGUAGGGAACUGCCAGGCAU
Molecule: ribosomal RNA, 120 nt
Filed under: Salmonella enterica subsp. enterica serovar Rissen
Lineage: Bacteria; Pseudomonadati; Pseudomonadota; Gammaproteobacteria; Enterobacterales; Enterobacteriaceae
Also listed under: 1 other name
Source: RNAcentral